CAAUAGCGUAUAUUAAAGUUGUUGCGGUUAAAAAGCUCGUAGUUGGAUUUCUGCUGAGAACGACCGGUCCGCCCUCUGGGUGUGUAUCUGGCUCUUUCUUGGCAUCUUCUUGGUGAACGUUGCUGCACUUGACUGUGUGGAGCGCUACCCAGGACUUUUACUUUGAGGAAAUUAGAGUGUUUCAAGCAGGCAUACGCCUUGAAUACAUUAGCAUGGAAUAAUAAGAUAGGACCUCGGUUCUAUUUUGUUGGUUUCUAGAGCUGAGGUAAUGAUUAAUAGGGAUAGUUGGGGGCAUUCGUAUUUAACUGUCAGAGGUGAAAUUCUUGGAUUUGUUAAAGACGAACUUCUGCGAAAGCAUUUGCCAAGGAUGUUUUCAUUAA
RNAcentral lists this ribosomal RNA (380 nucleotides) under uncultured eukaryote. RNAcentral's name for it is "partial 18S ribosomal RNA". It matches the Rfam family "Eukaryotic small subunit ribosomal RNA", at positions 592 to 976 of the family's 1831-position model. The record is from RNAcentral.